GGGGUUGUGGCUUAAUGGCAGAGCGCUUGCCUAGCAUGUUCGAGGCACUGGGUUCGAUUCUCAGCAACUCAU
This 72-nucleotide transfer RNA is filed under the name Marmota monax (woodchuck). It matches the Rfam family "tRNA". Rfam says of the family: Transfer RNA (tRNA) molecules are approximately 80 nucleotides in length. The record is from Rfam by way of RNAcentral. Lineage: Eukaryota; Metazoa; Chordata; Mammalia; Rodentia; Sciuridae.